RNAcentral lists this ribosomal RNA (274 nucleotides) under uncultured bacterium. Its description in RNAcentral is "partial 16S ribosomal RNA". It matches the Rfam family "Bacterial small subunit ribosomal RNA", at positions 523 to 796 of the family's 1533-position model. The record is from RNAcentral.
AGACAGAGGUGGCAAGCGUUGUUCGGAUUUACUGGGCGUAAAGAGCAUGUAGGCGGUUAGAUUAGUCAGUUGUGAAAUCCUAUGGCUUAACCAUAGAAUUGCAUCUGAUACUGUCUAGCUAGAGUGCAGAAGAGGAGAGUGGAAUUUCCAGUGUAGCGGUGAAAUGCGUAGAUAUUGGAAGGAACACCGGUGGCGAAGGCGGCUCUCUGGUCUGUAACUGACGCUGAGAUGCGAAAGCGUGGGUAGCAAACAGGAUUAGAAACCCCAGUAGUCC